CCUACGGGGGGCUGCAGUGGGGAAUAUUGGACAAUGGGGGCAACCCUGAUCCAGCCAUGCCGCGUGUGUGAAGAAGGCCCUCGGGUUGUAAAGCACUUUCAGUGAGGAAGAACGCCUGGUGGUUAAUACCCAUCAGGAAAGACAUCACUCACAGAAGAAGCACCGGCUAACUCCGUGCCAGCAGCCGCGGUAAUACGGAGGGUGCGAGCGUUAAUCGGAAUUACUGGGCGUAAAGCGCGCGUAGGUGGCUUGAUAAGCCGGUUGUGAAAGCCCCGGGCUCAACCUGGGAACGGCAUCCGGAACUGUCAGGCUGGGGUGCAGGAGAGGAAGUAGAAUUCCCGGUGUAGCGGUGAAAUGCGUAGAGAUCGGGAGGAAUACCAGUGGCGAAGGCGGCCUUCUGGACUGACACUGACACUGAGGUGCGAAAGCGUGGGUAGCAAACAGGAUUAGAUACCCUGGUAGUC
Molecule: ribosomal RNA, 464 nt
Filed under: Vreelandella stevensii
Lineage: Bacteria; Pseudomonadati; Pseudomonadota; Gammaproteobacteria; Oceanospirillales; Halomonadaceae
Description: partial 16S ribosomal RNA
Rfam family: Bacterial small subunit ribosomal RNA
Source: RNAcentral